Molecule: ribosomal RNA, 253 nt
Filed under: uncultured bacterium
Lineage: Bacteria
Description: partial 16S ribosomal RNA
Rfam family: Bacterial small subunit ribosomal RNA
Source: RNAcentral
UACGUAGGGUGCGAGCGUUGUCCGGAAUUAUUGGGCGUAAAGAGCUCGUAGGCGGUCUGUCGCGUCGGAUGUGAAAACUCGGGGCUCAACCCCGAGCCUGCAUUCGAUACGGGCAGACUAGAGUUCGGUAGGGGAGACUGGAAUUCCUGGUGUAGCGGUGAAAUGCGCAGAUAUCAGGAGGAACACCGGUGGCGAAGGCGGGUCUCUGGGCCGACACUGACGCUGAUGCGCGAAAGCCAGGGGAGCGAACGGG